This 207-nucleotide long non-coding RNA is filed under the name Setaria viridis. RNAcentral describes it as "long non-coding RNA (SVIR_LNC003064)". Lineage: Eukaryota; Viridiplantae; Streptophyta; Magnoliopsida; Poales; Poaceae. The record is from RNAcentral.
GACUAAACUUUUUAUCCCGGUUGGAACCUCCAACCGGGAUAAAAGGGUGCCGCCACCGACAGCCCUCCACUAGCCGUUGCAACCGGGACUAAAGGGGGGCCUUUAGUCCCGGUUGCAAUUACCAACCGGGACUAACUCUCCCCUCCAUUUUUGCCUACCGUGGCGCACCCCCUUUUGUCCCGGGCCAACUUUAAACCGGGACAAAAG